AAGACUCCAAGAUUAGAUCAUUAAUUUCUUUAUAUAUUGAUAUAAAAAUCUAAACUAAGAAUUAUCAUCGUACGAAAAGAAUGGAGGGUGACAAACAUAAUAAUUCUAAGACAAUUUUUUCAAUGCAUAAAAAAUAAUCCUACGACAAUGAUUAUAUCAGAGGAUAUAGUUGAAGAGAUAUUUCAAUAUCUUCCAAUAAAAUCACUAGCUAGAUUCAAAGUCUUGUAAAAAAAUGGAGAUCAAUGAUCAAAUCAACCUACUUUUCCCACAAAUGACUCGUUCGUACAGGUUUACCAACCCCUAAUAUGAAAUAUCUUCAUGUUAGUCAACACUUUUCAGCGAAUUUUGUUGAAGAAGAUUCAACUCAAUAACUUUUCUUUUGGAGACUUUUUCUAGAGAUGACCAUAACAACGGAAAAAACUGUCAUUCUUCUUCUUGUUACUACACUUUUCCUGAUGAUCCAAUCGACAAAUGUCAAAAUAAAACCAUUCAAGUAUUGGGAUCUUGUGAUGGAUUGGUCUUGAUUCAGAUCCAUGACGAUUUUAGGCACAUUUACUUGAUCAAUCCUUCGACUAAAGAACACAUGAAACUUUCCAAAGUGGUGCGUCGUUGGUACGCACCUUGGUUACUUUCUUAGAUUACAUGACCGUGCAUACAUGAUAUUUGUUAUUAUUAGUUAAACUUAUACAUAUCAACUUGAUUACUUUUUUUAGCUUUGUAGUAUCCGAAAAAACUUUUCAUGCAUGCUCCGUUAGACCUUUCGAUCUGCGGUAAUUUCCGUAACGUUCGCGUAGCCAGGUUGCAAAUUAAAUCGCAACCUCAGUAUCUUGAAGGCAAAUCAAACCUUGGAUGGGUUUAGAAACAUUUCAAAGUGGUGUUUCGUUGGUACACAUCUCUUGUUGACCGGAAGACAAGAACAAUGCUUCCUCCUCUUGACAAACAGAAUGAAACAACGUUUCGGGUUUGUUUUGGUAGAUUGGUAAAACAUUGGUGACGAACAACACUCGAGGCUUUUUCAUUGAUCAACUCAAGUAAAUUUCUCUGAAUUCUACGGAGCAAAUAAAUGAUGCACAUUGCUUUGAGACGCAUAGCCAUUUCGCCAAGACUUUUAGAGGCAUCGGUAACAGAAUCUUCAUUUGUAGAUCAUAAGGAAGUGUUUCAAAGCUUGAAUUCUCCAUUCUUGUUUUUUUGUU
RNAcentral lists this small RNA (1193 nucleotides) under Arabidopsis thaliana (thale cress). RNAcentral's name for it is "ATSL256420". The record is from RNAcentral. Lineage: Eukaryota; Viridiplantae; Streptophyta; Magnoliopsida; Brassicales; Brassicaceae.